RNAcentral lists this ribosomal RNA (747 nucleotides) under uncultured bacterium. RNAcentral's name for it is "bacterial SSU rRNA". It matches the Rfam family "Bacterial small subunit ribosomal RNA", at positions 97 to 845 of the family's 1533-position model. The record is from RNAcentral.
GGCGGACGGGUGAGUAAUGCUUGGGAACUUGCCUUUGCGAGGGGGAUAACUAUUGGAAACGAUAGCUAAUACCGCAUAAUGUUUUCGAACCAAAGUGGGCUUAGGCUCACGCGCAGAGAGAGGCCCAAGUGAGAUUAGCUAGUUGGUAAGGUAAAGGCUUACCAAGGCGACGAUCUCUAGCUGUUCUGAGAGGAAGAUCAGCCACACUGGGACUGAGACACGGCCCAGACUCCUACGGGAGGCAGCAGUGGGGAAUAUUGCACAAUGGGGGGAACCCUGAUGCAGCCAUGCCGCGUGUGUGAAGAAGGCCUUCGGGUUGUAAAGCACUUUCAGACGUGAGGAAGGGUUGAUGGUUAAUACCCGUCAACAUUGACGUUAGCGUCAGAAGAAGCACCGGCUAACUCCGUGCCAGCAGCCGCGGUAAUACGGGGGGUGCGAGCGUUAAUCGGAAUUACUGGGCGUAAAGCGCACGCAGGCGGUUUGUUAAGCUAGAAGUGAAAGCCCCGGGCUCAACCUGGGAAGGCCUUUUAGAACUGGCAAGCUAGAGUCUUGGAGAGGGGAGUGGAAUUCCAGGUGUAGCGGUGAAAUGCGUAGAUAUCUGGAGGAACAUCAGUGGCGAAGGCGGCUCCCUGGCCAAAGACUGACGCUCAUGUGCGAAAGUGUGGGUAGCGAACUAGGAUUAGAUACCCUGGUAGUCCACACCGUAAACGCUGUCUACUAGCUGUGUGUGAAUUUAAUUUGUGCGUA